This is a non-coding RNA of Biomphalaria pfeifferi, 251 nucleotides long. NCBI's taxonomy places the organism in Eukaryota, Metazoa, Mollusca, Gastropoda, Planorbidae. The record is from the annotation of a GenBank genome assembly.
UUCUAACAUUUCAAUGGAAACACAUCUCUAACAUUCCAAUUGAAACACAUCUCUAACAUUUCAAUGGAAACACACUUCUAACAUUUCAAUGGAAAAACCCUUAUAACAUUUCAAUGGAAAAACCCUUCUAACAUUUCAAUGGAAACACAACUCUAACAUUUCAAUGGAAACACAACUCUAACAUUUCAAUGGAAACACCUUUCAAACAUUCCAAUGGAAACACAUCUCUAACAUUUCUAUGGAAACACACU